CCUANGGGGGGCAGCAGUAAGGAAUAUUGCGCAAUGGGCGAAAGCCUGACGCAGCGACGCCGCGUGGGGGAUGAAGGUCUUCGGAUUGUAAACCCCUUUCGGGAGGGAAGAUGGAACGAGCAAUCGUUCGGACGGUACCUCCAGAAGCAGCCACGGCUAACUUCGUGCCAGCAGCCGCGGUAAUACGAAGGUGGCAAGCGUUGUUCGGAUUUACUGGGCGUACAGGGAGCGUAGGCGGUUCGGUAAGCCCUCUGUGAAAUCUCCAGGCUUAACCUGGAACAGUCGGAGGGGACUGCUGGGCUAGAGGACGGGAGAGGAGCGCGGAAUUCCCGGUGUAGCGGUGAAAUGCGUAGAGAUCGGGAGGAAGGCCGGUGGCGAAGGCGGCGCUCUGGAACGUUUCUGACGCUGAGGCUCGAAAGCGUGGGGAGCAAACAGGAUUAGAUACCCGGNUANUC
This 455-nucleotide ribosomal RNA is filed under the name uncultured bacterium. RNAcentral describes it as "bacterial SSU rRNA". It matches the Rfam family "Bacterial small subunit ribosomal RNA", at positions 338 to 795 of the family's 1533-position model. The record is from RNAcentral.